AAGAACAAAAAAGAAAAAAAAAGAAAAACAACAGAAAAAAAUUGAAAUGCCCCAUAAAAAAAAACAACAAAAAUCUUUAAUAAAACAUGUUAAAAAAUUACAAUAUGAUUACAGAUUAUGGUUUCAUUUAUUUGAUUCAUUUGUUGUCACUCUUUCUCUCUUUUUUUGUCUUUCAUCUAUUCACAUUGUAUCUUAUUACGGAUAUCAUUAUAUCAGUCUUGAUUUCAAUAUUCAUAACACUCCCGCGGAGGAGGAAGCGUAUAAUUCCGUGGCCGACUCGUCGUUUGUUCAAAGCUCAUGCAACAGCCAUAGCAUACAUAACGUAAGUGACUUACAUUAUGUGUAUACGGUACACGACGCUUAAACUUGACCGUGUUUAUUGGUAUAAUUGAGAGAAUAAUAAAAUUCCAAGAGAAAAGGAGACGAACGUGUGUGUGUAUAAAAUGGAAGAGAAUUUUAAAACGCGAUUCGGAGUUAAUGUCAUUUUGUUGACCAAGACCCAGUUCAAUACUUCAGCAACCUUUAACUAUCGUGCUGUAAUGGAUCGAAAAUGGCAAAUGAGUCAAUAAUGAAAGUAAUAAAUAAAUAAAUGUUACGAACGGACGUUUCGAUCAACUUCUGCCACUUUUCAUUCUACUCUCUGACCCGAUUUCAUCAUUACUCCACAUAUUUUUAUAAAAAUUGCAAAUGCCAGAAAAAUAAAAAAUCUGGGUGUGAGGUAAUCAAGGUCGUGUCUUGGGUUGGGAAAUGCGAUUGAACACGAGGGUAACGAUGAGAACUGAGACAAACAGAUGAAAGAAUUCAUUUUCUUUCUUGUUAAAAAAAUAUAUUCUUGCAUUUCGCGAUGGCGGAUAUAAAUUCAGGACUUCGUUCGUAAUCGAGGAGAGUGAAAAUUCUGGCCUCAUGCUCCGGCUUCACAGUUGCAAGCCUAAGGCGUCGCCCACGUAAUUCCGCAAAGAUAUCUUGCCUUCAAUGGAUCGAUACAUGCGCAUUGUAAUAUGUAUAUCAUACCUGCACACACUCUGCACUUCCAGAUGGUGGUUGACAUUUAAUAUCGUUGCGGGUAUAAUAUUUACGUACUUCAACUACAGGUGCGAAAAAAUAAAUUAAAAGAAAAUGACAAAACAACGUUUCGGUUAUGUAAACUCGAUUCAAAAUGUACACCGCGUUUAUUAUCCUCACAGUGUCCACAGGCUGGUCACUUUACAAAUAGAAAAUAAAAUUGGAUAGAAUUGGCUGGAAGGCAUGAGGAUCGUUGAGAAUAAUCUCUUGUCGAUGAUUUUACACGCGUGCAAUUCAGGAGGAAGUGAUGGAAUGUUUUUUUUUCCAAUCGGUAAUCUCGCUUGUUUCGUUAUAAUUCCUUUACCGUCUUAGUCUCGAGAACUAAAGGCCAAUAUACAGUGAAGAGACACCGUAUCGCGAAGAGAGUGUAUGCGACGGCGAAGUGUCAUCGUAGUGAAGCAGUGCCACUUACUUAAAGCCGACUGGAAUGCACUUCUAAACAGAACUCGUUGACAUUUGCAUGGCAGCGAGCAGAAGUAGCUGAACAUAAGGGCCAAACGUGCCCGGUUUCCUUUCCACUCCAACCUAACAGCUGGUGCAAAGAUGGCUAGAGAGUUUGGAACGCUCAUCUUCCCUUGAGAAGAUAAAUGCACCAAUUGGUUCCAGGUAACAACUGAUCAGUGCCGGGUACCCAAGCCAUACGCUAAGAUCUCACGUAAGCGAAAGUAGAGAAAGCUGAGAUAGCUCGGUGUUGCCGCCGAUUCGACGAGUGCUACUGCUGCAAGGACGUCAGCCUCGAGCUACUAACCGUUGGAAAACACAUCAAUACUCUAUGUCAUGUCAAGUUUUAAGCCGCACGAUUCGCUACGCGAGAUCUUCGGGGAAAUUUAUUUCAGGGAUACCGAUAUGGAUCCGAUGGAGGCCGUGUUUCAACGUAACGAAAAAUCGGGUAGAGACAUUAUUCGAAGUAAUUUUUCGUACAAGAGAAAUAUUCGCCCUUUAUAUCGUUGACCAUUGUUUUGAAACGAUCUCAAAAAAUCGGUAACGAGAUAUUAGAUUCGGUAUUGGCUGUCUCUUCAUUUCCCAUUUCUCAGCGUUCAAAAUUUACCGCUAGUGAUUUUAAUGACGUACGAAUCAAAUUACCUGACUAUAUUGACGCUGAGAUACCUACCGGAAUUUGGGAAAUACUUGAAAAAUCGACAGAUAUUAGAUAAACAUCAUGAAAUUAGAAACUUGCUGUAGGGUAAUUACCAUUUGGAUCAUAUAAGUUGCAUAUAAUUUAAUAUCGAUAUCUAUCAUAUUUAAAUACUUCAAACUAUCCGAACGUUCCUUCUACUGCAGACAAAUAUUCUACUGUAUUCAUAAAAUGUAUUUUAUUCCUUGUUAUAAUUCCAAUGGAAAGUUCUUGUUUGAAGAACACGACGCGAUAAUACCGAUCUUUGAAAAAUACUCAAUAAAUUGGUAUAAGAAUUUUUUCGAUUGA
Neodiprion fabricii is the source of this 2485-nucleotide long non-coding RNA. RefSeq lists it as uncharacterized. The transcript is spliced from 2 exons. The record is from RefSeq and is a predicted model, not a curated record. Lineage: Eukaryota; Metazoa; Arthropoda; Insecta; Hymenoptera; Diprionidae.